AGAGUUUGAUCAUGGCUCAGGAUGAACGCUAGCUACAGGCUUAACACAUGCAAGUCGAGGGGAAACGAUAUUGGAAGCUUGCUUCCGAUAGGCGUCGACCGGCGCACGGGUGAGUAACGCGUAUCCAACCUGCCCACCACUUGGGGAUAACCUUGCGAAAGUAAGACUAAUACCCAAUGAUAUCUCUAGAAGACAUCUGAAAGAGAUUAAAGAUUUAUCGGUGAUGGAUGGGGAUGCGUCUGAUUAGCUUGUUGGCGGGUAACGGCCACAAGGCGACGAUCGAGUAGGGGUUACUGAGACGGAAGGUCCCCCACAUUGGAACUGAGACACGAUCCAAACUCUACGGAGGCA
This 351-nucleotide ribosomal RNA is filed under the name uncultured bacterium. Its description in RNAcentral is "bacterial SSU rRNA". It matches the Rfam family "Bacterial small subunit ribosomal RNA", at positions 8 to 350 of the family's 1533-position model. The record is from RNAcentral.